RNAcentral lists this unclassified non-coding RNA (571 nucleotides) under Curvularia hawaiiensis. RNAcentral's name for it is "sequence contains 18S rRNA gene, ITS1, 5.8S rRNA gene, ITS2, 28S rRNA gene". The stretch from base 206 to 359 matches the Rfam family "5.8S ribosomal RNA". The record is from RNAcentral. Lineage: Eukaryota; Fungi; Ascomycota; Dothideomycetes; Pleosporales; Pleosporaceae.
UCGUAACAAGGUCUCCGUAGGUGAACCUGCGGAGGGAUCAUUACACAAUAAAAUACGAAGGCCGUUCGCGGCUGGACUAUUUAUUACCCUUGUCUUUUGCGCACUUGUUGUUUCCUGGGCGGGUUCGCUCGCCACCAGGACCACAAUAUAAGCCUUUUUUAUGCAGUUGCAAUCAGCGUCAGUAUAACAAAUGUAAAUCAUUUACAACUUUCAACAACGGAUCUCUUGGUUCUGGCAUCGAUGAAGAACGCAGCGAAAUGCGAUACGUAGUGUGAAUUGCAGAAUUCAGUGAAUCAUCGAAUCUUUGAACGCACAUUGCGCCCUUUGGUAUUCCAAAGGGCAUGCCUGUUCGAGCGUCAUUUGUACCCUCAAGCUUUGCUUGGUGUUGGGCGUUUUUGUCCCCUCCCAAAAAGGGGACUCGCCUUAAAAGGAUUGGCAGCCGGCCUACUGGUUUCGCAGCGCAGCACAUUUUUGCGCUUGCAAUCAGCAAAAGAGGACGGCAAUCCAUCAAGACUCCUUCUCACGUUUGACCUCGGAUCAGGUAGGGAUACCCGCUGAACUUAAGCAUAUC